RNAcentral lists this small RNA (125 nucleotides) under Marmota monax (woodchuck). Lineage: Eukaryota; Metazoa; Chordata; Mammalia; Rodentia; Sciuridae. The record is from RNAcentral.
CCUGGGCGCGGUGGCACAUGCCUGUAAUCCCAGCAGCUCGGGAGGCUGAGGCAGGAGGAUCUCGAGUUCAAAGCCAGCCUCAGCAAAAGUGAGGCACUAAGCAACUCAGUGAGACCCUGUCUCUA